AUACGGAGGGUGCAAGCGUUGUUCGGAAUCACUGGGCGUAAAGAGUACGUAGGCGGAUUUUUAAGUCAGAAGUGAAAGCCCAGGGCUCAACCCUGGAACUGCUUUUGAAACUGGAAGUCUAGAGUCCCGGAGAGGUUAGGGGAAUUCCGAGUGUAGCAGUGAAAUGCGCAGAUAUUCGGAGGAACACCAGUGGCGUAGGCGCCUAACUGGACGGGAACUGACGCUGAGGUACGAAAGCGUGGGGAGCAAACGGGAUUAGAAACCCCAGUAGUCC
This 274-nucleotide ribosomal RNA is filed under the name uncultured bacterium. Its description in RNAcentral is "partial 16S ribosomal RNA". It matches the Rfam family "Bacterial small subunit ribosomal RNA", at positions 523 to 796 of the family's 1533-position model. The record is from RNAcentral.